UACGGGGGGAGCAAGCGUUGUUCGGAUCUACUGGGCGUAAAGCGUGCGCAGGCGGUUCUGAAAGUCAGCUGUGAAAGCCCCGGGCUUAACCUGGGAAUUGCGGUUGAAACUACAGGGCUAGAAUCUGGCAGAGGGGGGUGGAAUUCCACGUGUAGCAGUGAAAUGCGUAGAGAUGUGGAGGAACACCGAUGGCGAAGGCAGCCCCCUGGGCUGAGAUUGACGCUCAGGCACGAAAGCGUGGGGAGCAAACAGG
Molecule: ribosomal RNA, 253 nt
Filed under: uncultured bacterium
Lineage: Bacteria
Description: partial 16S ribosomal RNA
Rfam family: Bacterial small subunit ribosomal RNA
Source: RNAcentral